GGAGUCUAGCAUGCGCGCGAGUCAUCGGGAAGCACUAAACCCGUAGGCGCAGUGAAAGCGAAGGGCCGCCUCGCGCGGCCCGAGGGAGGAUGGGUCCGGCCGCGGCCGGGCUCCGCACUCCCGGGGCGUCUCGCGCUCAUCGCGAGCUGAGGCGCACCCAGAGCGUGCACGCUGGGACCCGAAAGAUGGUGAACUAUGCCUGGUCAGGACGAAGUCAGGGGAAACCCUGAUGGAGGUCCGUAGCGAUUCUGACGUGCAAAUCGAUCGUCGGAACUGGGUAUAGGGGCGAAAGACUAAUCGAACCAUCUAGUAGCUGGUUCCCUCCGAAGUUUCCCUCAGGAUAGCUGGCGCCCGCUCUCGGGCGGUCUCCUCCGGGGGGCCGCCCUCAGUUAGAGUCUCAUCCGGUAAAGCGAAUGAUUAGAGGCAUUGGGGUCGAAACGGCCUCAACCUAUUCUCAAACUUUAAAUGGGUGAGAUCUCCGGCCUGCUCGACAGACAUUAUUGUAGGUGAGGCCGCGAGAUCGGAUCAGGGUGCCAAGUGGGCCACUUUUGGUAAGCAGAACUGGCGCUGUGGGAUGAACCAAACGCAGAGUUAAAGCGCCAAAAUCGACGCUUAUGGGAUACCAUGAAAGGCGUUGGUAACUUAAGACAGCAGGACGGUGGCCAUGGAA
RNAcentral lists this ribosomal RNA (670 nucleotides) under Scirtidae sp. UPOL RK0167. RNAcentral describes it as "eukaryotic LSU rRNA". It matches the Rfam family "Eukaryotic large subunit ribosomal RNA", at positions 670 to 1259 of the family's 3401-position model. The record is from RNAcentral. Lineage: Eukaryota; Metazoa; Arthropoda; Insecta; Coleoptera; Scirtidae.